This 628-nucleotide long non-coding RNA is filed under the name Cucumis sativus (cucumber). RNAcentral's name for it is "long non-coding RNA (CSAT_LNC000034)". Lineage: Eukaryota; Viridiplantae; Streptophyta; Magnoliopsida; Cucurbitales; Cucurbitaceae. The record is from RNAcentral.
AUGAAGCGAUGGAUCAAUGAGAUUGAAGAUGAUAUGUUGUUAAAGAAAUCUACCUUCAUGGAGUGGUGGAAGACACUUCCUGAGCAUCAUAGAUCACAGUCUUGUAUUAAGGAUGACAUCGAGAGGAUGGUGAAUGACAACAAUGCCACUAACACAAUGUAGUCCAACAUUAAUAAGCCAUUGUACUUGAAAAAGACAAUGACAUUCCAACAGCAUCCCUUCUGUUUGUAUGAAUAAUCAGAACUUAUUUAAAAAAUGUCCCUAAUGUAAUGAACAUGUUCUGAAACAAUUUCGCUACCAAUUUUAUAAUAGUGUUGAGGCUAUCAACAAGAUAAUCAACAAGCACUAACCUUGUAAACUCUGACAGAAACGGCCAACCACCUGUGCUGACGGGCAGAGGCCUCGUUCAUGGUCCAUGGAGAUAAACCUUAAGAAAAAAGUACGACAAAUAUAGAAUAGAAUAACCAUUUAAAACAGCAGACAUAAAUUUGAGCAUGUUUGGAAUGACCUUUAAAGAGCUACAGAAGGGGUAUCCAAGCACUAAGAUAAUCAAUCCAAACUCCAUGAAUCCAAUCUCCAAUCUGUUCAUUUACAGAAAUUGUAAUAGUUUCCAAUAGAGACCACCAAU